RNAcentral lists this unclassified non-coding RNA (207 nucleotides) under uncultured fungus. RNAcentral's name for it is "sequence contains ITS1". The record is from RNAcentral. Lineage: Eukaryota; Fungi.
GUACAUUAGUGCUUGCGCACGACAGUAGUUUUCAUUACAUUCGAGUUUAUGUGUAAAAUCCUCUGCCAGCCGAAGCUAGCAAGAGGCCAAAGGUUCACAGGGUAGUAGUGGAUGAAAGCCACCAACGUGCACUUGCUCGCGAGAGCCAGCACCGAAGGUAACCAUUCGCAAUCAUUAAUGAUCCUUCCGCAGGUUCACCUACGGAAA